Molecule: transfer RNA, 72 nt
Filed under: Methanomicrobiaceae archaeon
Lineage: Archaea; Methanobacteriati; Methanobacteriota; Methanomicrobia; Methanomicrobiales; Methanomicrobiaceae
Also listed under: 1 other name
Description: tRNA-Thr
Rfam family: tRNA
About the family: Transfer RNA (tRNA) molecules are approximately 80 nucleotides in length.
Source: RNAcentral
GCCGCUGUGGCUUAGUGGUAUAGCGAUUGAUUCGUAAUCAAUAGGUCGGGGGUUCAAAUCCCUCCAGCGGCU